GACGAACCGUGCGAACGUUGUUCGGAAUCACUGGGCUUAAAGGGCGCGUAGGCGGGCUGUCAAGUCUGGGGUGAAAUGCCACGGCUCAACCGUGGAACUGCCUCAGAUACUGACGGCCUCGAGGGAGGUAGGGGCGUGCGGAACUGUAGGUGGAGCGGUGAAAUGCGUUGAUAUCUACAGGAACUCCGGUGGCGAAAGCGGCGCGCUGGACCUCUUCUGACGCUGAGGCGCGAAAGCUAGGGGAGCAAACGGGAUUAGAUACCCCGGUAGUCC
This 273-nucleotide ribosomal RNA is filed under the name uncultured bacterium. RNAcentral describes it as "partial 16S ribosomal RNA". It matches the Rfam family "Bacterial small subunit ribosomal RNA", at positions 524 to 796 of the family's 1533-position model. The record is from RNAcentral.